GUACUGGUGGCUUAAAACAAAGCAUUAGUCUUGUAAACUAAGUAUGAAGGUUGAAUUCCUUCCCAAUACU
This 70-nucleotide transfer RNA is filed under the name Pronothobranchius seymouri. RNAcentral's name for it is "tRNA-Thr". It matches the Rfam family "tRNA". Rfam says of the family: Transfer RNA (tRNA) molecules are approximately 80 nucleotides in length. Their secondary structure includes four short double-helical elements and three loops (D, anti-codon, and T loops). Lineage: Eukaryota; Metazoa; Chordata; Actinopteri; Cyprinodontiformes; Nothobranchiidae. The record is from RNAcentral.